CCAUAUCAUAUUGAAACACUGAUUCCCAUACAAUCACUGAAGUUAAGCAAUAUCAAGCUGGUCAGUACCUAGAUGGUUAACUGCUUGGGAAUACCAGGUGCUGUAA
Molecule: non-coding RNA, 106 nt
Organism: Acanthosepion pharaonis
Lineage: Eukaryota; Metazoa; Mollusca; Cephalopoda; Sepiida; Sepiidae
Source: the annotation of a GenBank genome assembly